GACGAACGCUGGCGGCGUGCUUAACACAUGCAAGUCGUACGGUAAGGCCCUUUCGGGGGUACACGAGUGGCGAACGGGUGCGUAACACGUGAGUAACCUGCCCACAACUUUGGGAUAACGCUAGGAAACUGGUGCUAAUACUGGAUAUGUGCUCCUGCUGCAUGGUGGGGGUUGGAAAGCUCCGGCGGUUGUGGGUGGAAUUGUGGCCUAUCAGCUUGUUGGUGGGGUAGUGGCCUACCAAGGCGGCGACGGGUAGCCGGCCUGAGAGGGUGACCGGCCACAUUGGGACUGAGAUAAGGCCCAGACUCCGACGGGAGGCAGCAGGGGGGAAGAUUGCACGAGGGGCGCAAGCCUGAUGCAGCAACGCCGCGGGCGGGAUGACGGCCUUCGGGUUGUAAACCGCUUUCAGUAGGGAUGAAGCUUUUUGUGACGGUACCUGCAGAAGAAGCACCGGCUAACUACGUG
This 465-nucleotide ribosomal RNA is filed under the name uncultured bacterium. RNAcentral's name for it is "partial 16S ribosomal RNA". It matches the Rfam family "Bacterial small subunit ribosomal RNA", at positions 28 to 507 of the family's 1533-position model. The record is from RNAcentral.